GACGAACCGUGCAAACGUUGUUCGGAAUCACUGGGCUUAAAGGGCGCGUAGGCGGGCGAUCAAGUCCGGGGUGAAAUCCUCCAGCUUAACUGGAGAAGUGCCUUGGAUACUGGUCGCCUCGAGGAAGGUAGGGGCAUCUGGAACAAUGGGUGGAGCGGUGAAAUGCGUUGAUAUCCAUUGGAACUCCGGUGGCGAAGGCGAGGUGCUGGACCUUUUCUGACGCUGAGGCGCGAAAGCCAGGGGAGCGAACGGG
This 253-nucleotide ribosomal RNA is filed under the name uncultured bacterium. RNAcentral's name for it is "partial 16S ribosomal RNA". It matches the Rfam family "Bacterial small subunit ribosomal RNA", at positions 524 to 776 of the family's 1533-position model. The record is from RNAcentral.